UACGUAGGGAGCAAGCGUUGUCCGGAAUCAUUGGGCGUAAAGCGCGCGUAGGUGGCUUCAUAAGUCCGCUGUGAAAGUCAAAGGCUCAACCUUUGAAAGCCGGUGGAUACUGUGAAGCUAGAGUACGGAAGAGGCGAGUGGAAUUCCUGGUGUAGCGGUGGAAUGCGCAGAUAUCAGGAGGAACACCAAUAGCGAAGGCAGCUCGCUGGGACGUUACUGACGCUGAGACGCGAAAGCGUGGGGAGCGAACAGG
RNAcentral lists this ribosomal RNA (253 nucleotides) under uncultured bacterium. RNAcentral's name for it is "partial 16S ribosomal RNA". It matches the Rfam family "Bacterial small subunit ribosomal RNA", at positions 524 to 776 of the family's 1533-position model. The record is from RNAcentral.